Molecule: long non-coding RNA, 978 nt
Organism: Tympanuchus pallidicinctus (lesser prairie-chicken)
Lineage: Eukaryota; Metazoa; Chordata; Aves; Galliformes; Phasianidae
Exons: 3
Source: RefSeq, a predicted model, not a curated record
AGUGCUGAGCUCGGCAGGAGGACAGAGGGGAGCAGCUGGGAGCCUCACAGCCUCCUCGCGUUCCCACGCAGCGGGACAGCGCUGCUGCGUGCGACGGCCCUGAUUCCUCCCUCGUCCCCCUUUUCCUUUUUUUCCUCCCUCGUCCCCCAUUUCCUUUUGUCCUUCUCAUGCACUUCCUGCUAUCCCGCCUUAUCCCCGCCUUCCCUCAUCUCUUCUUGCACUCUUUGACCCCUUUUUCUCCCCCCAUCCUUAUUUCUCUUCACAUUCUCCUGUUCUUUUUUCCCCUUUCCUCUUCUUCGUCCCCAGCUCCGCUUCCCCCCACCUCACGUCCCCUUUCUUCUGUCCCUGUACCCCAUUUUUCCCUUUUUUUCCCCACCCCCCUUUUUUUGUUCUCUGCUGUCCCCUAUUCCCUUUUUCCUCUUUGCUCUCUCUCUCCUUUCUUCCCCCUCAUCCUGUUACAGAAGAGAGUGAAGGAAUGAUGGACAAGCUGGUGCAGGAUGGCAGCAGCAGGGUGGAAGCCCAGGUUCCGGACACGGCUUGCUCUUCUAAGCAGUGUGAGGACUGCGAGAAAGGCUUUGUUGGAUGCAGCAGGAAAGCACAGCCGCUGGUGGAUGCCAGUGUCCGCUCCUGAGGCUCUGCGCCAAGGUACGUGGAUCCCUGCCGUCUCCUGUUUCACACGCUCGCUCAGGUCCUUUGGGGCUUGGUGUCGCUUGUCCCUCGUGCUCCCGUUGCUGUCACCGGGUGUUGUUCCUUUCCCCAUGCUCAGCUCUGCCCAGUGCUGAUGGGAUGCCAGUGCCACCUGCUGCUCUUAAGAAAAGGUAGGUUUGAUUUCUUUUGGUUUCCAUAGCAUUUGCUACACUUUCCUUCUGUCUCUCUUCUUUUUUUUUUUUUUUUUCUUUUUGCUCUCAAUAAAUGGCAGGUUCAAUUCCUUUUGGCUCCUGUAGUGUUUGCUACACGUGUGUUCUGUUUCUCUUCUCU